CAGAACUUCAAAAGAGGAGGUAGUAGAAGAAUUUGUUUUUUAAAGUUAAAAAGGAUAAAAAUUAAAUACAUAUAUAUGGAAAAUGUUGAAAAUUAUGAGAGUUGGGGCCUCCAGUCCAGCCCUGUUCACGCCCUUGUAUGGUCACAAGAGGAUGAAGAGGUGGUAAUUUUUCUAAGAUUUCCUUUCACUUAAUAGAAGGAAGAUAAUUUAAUUUUCAUCGAUUGGUUUUCGAAAGAUUAGAACCCCUCAGCCUUAAGUCUUUGCGGUUGCGUAGUCCAUUUCUCCUCCAGUCUUUUGGAAUUUAAUAUAUCAGUUUUAGAAAUUCAAGGUUACUUCGAUUAAGAAACUCAAAAACAAUCCCCUUGGGUUAUCUCCUUUCCUUUCUGAUUAUGGCAUGUUCUUCACUAGCAGAAGCUCAUGAACAUUUGGUCCACCUACUAGCAGUAAAUUCAUAAUAAUCUCUCGUUAUAAAGGACAUAAUAUGAUUAUAAAGAAAGAAAGAAUAAGAAAAGGAAGAGGAUAUGAAUUGCAAAAGUAUCUUCAUAACUGCAGAACUUCUAACAACAAUACACUGAUAAUUUAAAAUAAAAACACCACAGUGUAUAUUAAUCAAUCCUUUAACAGGACUACUACACGAAUAAAAAGAUGAAGAAGAAGAAGGCUAAAACAUGAAGAUGCGGACUGCUGAUGUUAAGCAAGGCGACGCAUGACAUAAGUUCUACGAGGAGGAGGGCUGCAGAUGACCAUUAGAGCUAAAGCAAUCACCAGAGCCAUUAAGAGUCCCGUAAGAUCAACAUCGCUGCCUUCGCUUAUCUCCGAGCACACCAAUUUCCCCAUCUGAAAUCCAAAGAUGUAACAAUACAGGGGUGGGGUGUCUCCGAAAUUGAAAUAUGUAAUGAUCGAUACAAGGCUUAUGGCUUCUUUUAAAAUUGCGGUCCGCAGUCAAGCCUGCAUUGGAGAAGAGAUGAGAAUGCGAAACUUCUCUUUUAAAAGUCAAAUCAAUGAAAAUAUAUGAUAAAUGGCAUGACUAACCAUAUGUUUAGAUAUUGACUCUACAUUUUAUCUAUUCCGUGUCUAUUGCAUCUAAGGAUGGGUUACACACACCUCCAUCUUGGAGCAGUUAGACUAGUCCUAUCCUAUCAUGGAAUGAUGGGUUUACCGGUCACAGCCCGUAUAUCGCUACUGGACACAAGAUACCUCAAGUAUGAGCAUGCAAUGAUCGGAACGAUCGUCACAACACUCAACACAGGAAGUGUUGUCUUGAUCUUCUUCCCUAAUUUCAAUCUAUCCCUCAGUGAUCCUUAUCUUCCCACUACACUAAAAGUUCAAGUCCAGAUAACAGGAGCGAAUCAAGUCGAUAACGCUCUCUCUGCAACCCUACACCAUCAGAUAGUUUAUAGACUACAGGAUCAUGCAUUGAAUCUACAGAUCCCAGGCUUUCAAGCCUCCUCUGAUGCAUUGUUCAUUAUGGCCGACUCUGGCCAGAUCCCCACUAUUGUCCAAGCUCCCAGGCAGCUGGAAAAGGAAGAUCUUCAAAAGUUGAUCCCGACUGAGUGGGUCACCAACUACGAAAAGCUUCAGGCAUCUCAAUCUAAGCCUGUUCAAGCUACAGAUCCUCUCUUUAUCAAUCAAAGAGAUGGAACUGUCAAAACGAUCUUCACAAAGACUGGGGAAUCUUCUUCAGCUCCAUCCUUCUUUCAAGCAUCCAUGAUACAACCGGUAUCAAGGCCAAGGGAAAAGAUCCCUAUUCAUUCAUUCCAGUCCUCUGGAAACCAGAUCUACGCCGCCCAAGUCAAAGGACACUUCGUCUGGGAUGUUGCCCCAAAGAUGUGCCGCCCAGGAUGCACUUGUGAUAAUAGCUUAGACUUUGCUGAACCUUGCUUUCGGCAUCCAAAAAGGAAUCCUCGAAACAUGUCACCGGACACUCCAUGUUCAGAAAGGAGAUCAAAGCCGGAUGACCGGGAUCCAGAUGGUUCCCAAAAGCAACAGACAAGUAAAACACCUCUCCCAAUGUUUGAUGAGGCCAUCGAGUUCCUUGCAAAAGAAGGAAAAACAGUCAUUGAUAUCUCUUACGAUGAAUUCAAGGUACUAUUGGCUCAAUUUAAGGUCGAAUAUGGAAAACCCCCUUCUGCAACCUGCAGAAAAGAGAUCCAGAAAGAUCUAAGAGUUUAUAGGCUGGAAAAUGAAACCUGCAAGAGCUUAGCUCCCACAGGGUUUGAAACCACGGUUUCGGUUACAACGCCACGAAUUUCUAGAUGUUCUUCAUCUCUGUCUUCCAUAUCAGCGGUUUAACCAGCAAUUCAAGAGUGCUACAUGUUCCAGCCAGAGGAUUUCCCUCCUUUAGGAAAAACGGAGAACAAGAGAUCAGAAAUUCUUCCUUUAAGGAUUUCUCCCUCUGGAUCUAUAGAGCCCCUGACACCUCCAAAAGAGGUGCUAAACUGGCAAACCUACAACUCGAUAGUCCAGAAUACUUAUCUAAAAAAGAUAGAUGGGAAACUGGACCAAGCUUUACACCUGGCUCAAAAACUGGAUCAUAAGUUGGAUACUUUCUCACAAGAAGUACUCCAGCUCCACUCAUCGCUCACUGCAAAAUAUCAAGCUCUGGAUAGAGAGCUUCGGAUACCUCAGCCCAUUACUCCCGCCUUCAUACAAAAGGAAAAGGAGAUCACACGGCUGAAGAAACAAAUAGAUCAAAUUGAGCAUGAUCUUCGGAGAGACCAGUCUACUAUAAUUCCAUCCUUUACUUCAGCAGCCUCCACAUCAUCUGCUAUUGCUCCUUCGUACUAUUCUUCAUUCCUUUUUCUUUCACAACCAGAACAGCCACAAGAAACCCUUUAUCAGCCAUUUGACACUUUCUCUCAUCUUUACCCAAAACACCCAAAAAACCUAGAAAAGAAAACCUCUCCUCCUCUAGCCUGUAAAGAAAAAAUACCAGAAAAAUCUCUCAUCAGUCUGUAUGAUUCAGAAUCCUCUUCGAAUACUUCAGAGAUGGCGGACAUCACUGAGAUUCUCAUGAACACUUCUACUACUGAUCCCAGUCCAGAAAUAGUGGAACCUAAGGAUGAGGAUGCUCAGUCAUUCUUUACUCCCACUGGAGCUCCAAACCCAAGGUCAAAACCAGCUAGCACGGGACCUUGGUUCACUUUUGAUGACCUACCCCCAUCGAAAUGGAAGGACAAGCUUUCCAAAUUCUUGGCAUGGAUUGAUCUUCAGAUGACCCUUGAAGGGGCCACACUCAAAAAGGUCCUUGCCGAAUUUGUCACAAGAUUUACCGGAAGCUUAAGAGAUUGGUUUCAGUCUCAGCCUGAGUACACCAGGCUCCAAUUUAUCACUCUGCCAACUCCAUCAGCAGCAGUAACAAUCCUCCAUAACCAGUUCCUUGGGAGUCAUGACCUUGUCAUAAGACAGCAGAAACAAGAGUUCUUUGAUCGAAAAUGUUGUUCAUUAAAAAUGAAGGAUCUGGAAAAGCACUAUUCGGCUAUGUCCAAACUCUACUAUGUCAUUGGAGGACAUGAUGGUGACGAUACACUAAAGUAUACCUUCAUCACCUCUCUGCCGGAUGAAAUACAACCUGAGGUCAACAAUAUGAUUGCGGCAACAAAGAGACCAGUCACCUCUAUUACACUUGGCGAAAUCUGGCAAUUCACACUCUCUUCCAUUAAGAGACUGUGUGAUCAACAAGAGUUAUUCAAAAGGUUAUCUCAAAGGGACUUGAUAGUCCAAAAGGCUUGCAACAAGAACCACCUCAAGAUUAAGUGCAAAGCCGCCAACUGCGUCUGUUCAAAUCAUAAGAAGAAAUCUGGACAUCAUUUCCAGAAAUACACGCGCAGCAAUAAGAAGUUCAGGAAAGAGAACUUAAAGAGAUUCAAAUACUUCCGUAAGAAACGGAAUCAAGGGUACAAGUCUGACAGAUGUUUCAUCUGCAAAAGAAAGGGACACUAUGCAAAAAAUUGUCCAAAGGAAUCCAGAAAAGUCAGCAAAGAUGAUUCAACAAGUCAGCAUGUCUUUAUCUCUUCCAAACUCUUUUGAAGCGGAGAUAGAAUCUCUACUUUCAGAGCAAGAGGAUCUUACCCCAAAAAGCUUAUUUGGGUUGGAAAUGGAGUUCUCAGACUCCACAGAGUCCUCACAAGAAUCUUCUUUAGACUCAGACGAUAGUGAGAUACCAAUCUUGAUGAUUGGUCUGCGCGAAGAAAGUCAGGAGAAUAUUCUAGAAGAUGUAAUACAAUAUCCUCUCUCUCCAACCCUACUGUCUUCUUUCUUUGUUUCUUCUCCACCUCCUGAAACUUUUCAAUUUACUACAAAACCCCCUCCAGUUCCAUAUAUUCCCAUACAGAUCCUACCUUCAAAAUACUCCAAGCCUGUACCAGUGAUAGCUUUCUUUGACACUGGAGCACAAAGAAGCAUGAUGAACCAAAUGGUUCUCCCAUCAGAGUAUUAGAAGCCCCAUGAUCAGUUCUUUAGGGCAGCCAAUGGUCAAACCUUCAAAACCACUCUGAUCACAAGACAAAGGAUCGGAAUACAGUUCUUUCCUGAUUGCGUUGUAUGGACGCACAUCAUUGGUUCAGAUCUUCCAAAUAAGGAUAUCCUAAUAGGGUUUGAUGUUUAUCAUCAAGCUCAAAAGCUCCAAAUUCUUCCAACUGCAUAAAGUUCAAGAGACAGUUUCGGUCAUACACUAAAACUUCAAAUCUGUUUUCUAUGACAGACACAAUUCUACCAUUCCUACCAUACAUAAAAAAAUUCCUUCAGUUUUGUCCAGAAUCUCAUUCACAUUUUCAACACCCUCUUCCUCUGUGGAAAAAUCCACAAUUCUAUAUCAGCCUCCCCUUCAAACUUAAUGAAGACAUUAACCCUACUAAAGCCACACACAUGGGAAUGUCACCCACAGACCUAGCCCUUGCCCGAUCAGAAUGCUUGACACUGUUACAGCAAGGCCUAAUUGAACCCACUACUUCACAAUGGGCUUGCCAAGCCUUUUAUGUGGAAAAAAGGUCUGAAAUGAUUAGGGGAAAAAAGAGGCUUGUCAUAGACUACAAGCCCUUAAACCAUUUCCUUCAAGACAACAAAUUUCCUCUUCCUCGGAUCUCAAAUCUCAAAGUCCAUAUCCAAAAGGCCCAAUACUAUUCCAAAUUUGACCUAAAGGCGGGCUUUUGGCAACUCGGUAUCCAACCCACAGAGAGAUACAAGAGUGGACUGUUAUGCCCUUUGGGCUCAAGACGGCCCCAUCUCAAUUCCAGAAGACCAUGAUUGAGAUUUUUGGGCCUAUCCUUUACUCUUCUUUGAUCUACAUCGACGACAUUCUACUAUUCUCAGAAACAGCAGAGGACCACCACCAACUGUUACAACAGUUCUUUACCAUCAUCCAGAAAUAUUGCAUUAUGUUGUCAAAAAAGAAGAGCACUAUUGGCCAACGAGAAAUUGAAUUUCUCGGUAUGCAUUUCAAGAAUGGCCAGUACACAUAUGGUCCCCACCUGACAAAGGAACUUGAUAAUUUUUCAGAAGAGAAUUUAUCAGUGAAACAAAUUCAACAGUUCCUUGAAAUCCUAAAUUAUGUUCGAGAGGCCAUUCCACACCUGUCUAGUUACACGUGCCACCUCUCAAAAAUGCUCAAGAAGAACCCUCCUCCAUGGGGAGCGGAACAAACAACAGCCGUCAAACAGUUAAAAGAGCUGGCUCACAAUCCGCCACCUCUCACAAUUCCGUCAACAGGAGAACUUAUUCUACAAACAGAUGCAUCUGACUAUGCAUGGGGGGCCAUCCUCCUAGAAAAGCUCCACGACAAGGAACAAUUAUGUGGAUAUGCAUCGGGUCAGUUUUCCUCUUCAGAAAAAUAUUAUCACACGACCUACAAGAAAAUUUUGGCGGUCAAGUACGGGAUAAAAAAGUUUGAAUUCUUCUUGAUUGGACAGCACUUCUUGGUUCGGAUGGACAACUCCUCCUUCCCAAAGAUUCUUGAAUCCAACCAGAAGACCUUGCCUGAGCCCCAACUACUGCGAUUAAAGUCAUGGUUCAGCAGGUAUGAUUUUAAGGUUGAGCAUAUAAAAGGGAUAAGAAACCUAAUCCCGGAUUUCUUAUCCAUAAUUUUCAAACCUCAGAAUCAGCCUAUAGUCCUUCUCACCUCUACCAUAAAUCUUCCCAUAAUUUUUAUGGCUUCUUCAUCUUCCAGAACCAACCUGCAACCUCCUUCACCACCAGAUCUUCCCAACAACCUCACAACCAAACAAGUCACUGACUUUGCCCGGAACAUGAUGUUCCAUUAUUUGGCAACUUUUNNNNNNNNNNNNNNNNNNNNNNNNNNNNNNNNNNNNNNNNNNNNNNNNNNNNNNNNNNNNNNNNNNNNNNNNNNNNNNNNNNNNNNNNNNNNNNNNNNNNNNNNNNNNNNNNNNNNNNNNNNNNNNNNNNNNNNNNNNNNNNNNNNNNNNNNNNNNNNNNNNNNNNNNNNNNNNNNNNNNNNNNNNNNNNNNNNNNNNNNNNNNNNNNNNNNNNNNNNNNNNNNNNNNNNNNNNNNNNNNNNNNNNNNNNNNNNNNNNNNNNNNNNNNNNNNNNNNNNNNNNNNNNNNNNNNNNNNNNNNNNNNNNNNNNNNNNNNNNNNNNNNNNNNNNNNNNNNNNNNNNNNNNNNNNNNNNNNNNNNNNNNNNNNNNNNNNNNNNNNNNNNNNNNNNNNNNNNNNNNNNNNNNNNNNNNNNNNNNNNNGCAACCCAGAAUAUCUGUUACCAUUGGAGAACACUUAAUAGUCAUCUACAUCUUGCUUUGCCAGCAAUCACAGAAGACCUAAAACAGGCCCUGCAAUACAGAAAUGAAUCAAGGAUGACUAAUGUCUCAACACCAUUAGUAUGCACAUUCAAUGGACAUCAAUCAACUAGACAAUCAUGUUUCUCUAAUCUUCCGACCCCACUGGAUGAUCCUACCUUAACCAGAGCACGGCAAGAAGCUCUCAUGCAAGAUUCCCAGCCAAUGGAUGAUGAUCAAAAUGAUGACAUUUUCUAAGCAUGUGAAGCUGUCGGCCACUCCUAUUACUUUGAAGUAAAAUAUUAGAUAUUAUUGUCCUAUUAGGCAUGUGAGUGAAGUGAAUUAUUGUAUUCUGUCAUAUAUGUGAGUGGAGUGAAUUAUUGUACAUAGUCCUAUUAGGCAUGUGAGUGAAUGAUGAGUCGUCCUUAUUGUCUUGUAAGUGGAGUGUGAGUGGAGUGAAUUAUUGUACGUAGUCCUAUUAGGCAUGUGAGUGAAUGAUGAGCCGUCCUUAUUGUCUUAUAAGUAGAGGAUGAGUGGAGUUCCCACUAAGCCUCCUUUUGUACUCUUGUUAAGACUCUUCUCCCUAUAUAAGGGGAAGUCAUUUUUGAAUAAAAGAUCAAGCAAGUUUUCCAUUAAGCAAUUUCUUACUCUCUCAUGGCCUUCUAAACUCUUCCCCUCUCUUCUUCUCGAUCCAAUGGCAAUGAACUAAUAGUUGCUACGAUCUAUUUCUGGUAUAAUCCAAAAGGGCUAACUCGGCUAUCGAAAUCCAAAAGAGCAGAAAGACCCCCAUGGCGAGGUGCCUCUUUGUGGUCUUAGCUUGAGGAUACUCACAUGCCUUGAGUUUACAGCAUGAGGACUAUGCCAUGAACAGCUCUCGGCUCCCUUUGGUAUCAGUAAUAUAUAUAUUAAAGGUGUUUUUUAAUUUUAUAAAUAAGAAUGACUAGCAAUAUAUUGAACUUUUUAUAUUUUUUCUUCGUUAUACCAAGUGUUAUUAAUUAUAAAAAAAAUAAAUAAUAUUUAUUACUUUUAAGAAAUUUAAUAUUUUAUGAAAAAGUUGAUAAAUAUAUGAAAAAUACUAAAUUUUUCAUAAUCAUGAAAUGUAUUGCUAAAUUACAAAAAGUAACAAUCAUCUUCAUAUUUUUUCAUAGAUUAUACUAAUUUUUCAUAAGUAUUAUUAGUUACGAAAAAAUAAAUGAUAUUACAGAAAAUGAUUACUGUUGCAAAAUUUAAUAAUUUACGAAAAAACUGAUAAAUUUACUAAAAGUAUUAUAAAUUUCUUCAUAAUUGCGAAAUAUAUUGCUAAAUUAUAAAAAAAUAAUAAUCAUCUUUAUAUUUUUUCACAAAUUAUACUAAUUUUUCAUAAGUGUUACUAGUUGCAGAAAAAAAAUAUUUUUGCGAAAUUUAAUCAUUUACAGAAAAACUGAAAAAUUUAUAAAAAAAUAUUAAAUCCUUUCGUAAUCGUAAAGUAUAUUGUUAAUUCUUUUAAAAUAUGUUCACAAUUUACACUAAUUUUUAUAAGUCAAACUAGUUGCGAGAAGAUGAAUAACAUUACAAAAAGAUGAUAAUUAUUACAAAAUCUAAUGAUUUAUAAAAAAAAAUCAAUAAAUUAAAGAAAUAUGUUAAGUUUUAUCAUAAUCGUAAAAUUUAUUACUGGAUUACAAAAAUUGAUAAUUAUCUCCAUAUUUGUUCGUAAAUUAAAUUAAUUUUUUAUACGUUUUAAGAGUAUGAAUUUCUAAAAAUACCUCAUUUUAGUUGUUAACAUGUAAUUAAAACAAAAUAUGUUUAAAACAAAGUAAAUUGUAGAACUAAUUUCUAAAUAACUUUCGUCCAAUAAUUGGAUACAAGUAACAAUACCCAAAGUAGGGAGCAACCAAGAAUUUUCCAUUAUGGAUUAUUUAUCAUUAACAUUUGAAUGCCCCAGCGUAGAGUUGAAGCUUUUGUAAUAGUAAGACUGUAGGGGGCGGCUGCUAAGUGAAAUGUGCGCUAAUGGGAAAAUAUUAAUUAAAAUUAUUAAAGACCAAGACUACUACCAGAAUGAAACCAAAACACAACCAGUGGCUCAAAUUCAACUACCUAAUUUGUUUUGCUUUGUCAUUUAUGUACGUUUAGACUUUUAUAUAUUUUGCUAAUUGUUUAAUUAUAGUUUCUACUGCCAUUCAUGGUGCAGUUUUGAAUUUAAGCUUAAAAAAGUGGGCUACUGUCUGAACUGGAACUCGCCAUUAGUCGGAGUGAAUAGUUUUUCAUCAGAAUUAAUCAAAUCCUUUAAAUUUGAUGGCUGGAUACUUUUUCUAAGUUAGCUGUGUAAGGAAGCAAAGUAAGAUAAUGCCAAUAUGGGCUUAGGCUGGAUACUCUUUUCUUUAACAAAUACUCAGCUCAGCCUUAAUUCUGGACUAUCUUAUGAGUCAAUAUCCCUUAUUGUUCAAGGCCCUGCAAGAAAGGGAAACAAGAUUUUACCAAAUGACCUGAGUUAUGAGUCAAUUUCAUCACUGUACAUACUUGCACUAUACACUUAAUUCCCUCCAGUUAUUAGGAACCAAUUGAUGAGCAAAAACUGUUGUUUCAACUUUAUUGUAAAAACAUAAUAUCCAUUAAGCUUCAAAUAAUUAGAUACUGCGAGGAUGGCCAAAAAGUGGAGGGUAUGGUAACAAAAAUCAUGGACACCAUUAUUCUUGUAGCCCAGAAGCCACCAUGUAACAAUCAUUGAUUUUGAUUCCCAUAAAUGAAUUAAGAGGGUCACCUGUAUUGGCUCUGUUUUUCAAGGAUUUUUGGUGGCAAUCAAUAGAUGUGGGCCAUUUUUACCAUUUUUUUACUGAAGCAUUUCUCUAUAACUAUUCAUGCAAUGCUAUAAUAGUAUCAUUCAGUUACUGUGUCUACUCAUGAUGGAAGUAGUGAAAGAAAAAAAAAGAAAAGAAAAGGGGAAAUCAGAGAGAUGAAAUCAGCAUUCAGCAACAAUCAUAGUAACAGGGAAUAUACAUGAUGAUGGAUCAUAAAUACACUAAACGUGUGGCCAUCAUAUGAGUAAGGAUUAACUUUGAUUAUUGCCCCACCUAAACACAGACACACAUACACAAGAUUUAAUACUCUUUCUUUUCACUAACCUAACCUUUUUUUUUUCUAAUUAUUAUAUAUAUAUAUGGGGUUAUUAUCUCUUCUUAGUCAGUAUGUAGGUGUGGCAGGAAGUUGGGAGGGUAUUUGUGAUGUGUUAUUAUCUAUAUGUUCACAUAUGCCCCCUGCUUUUAUUAAUGGCAUUCAUGACUUGAUUAUGUAUUAUUUGUGGCUAUAAGCUAAAGUAACAAUCAAGGGAAUUGAAUAAAAACAAGGGCAUUAAAUAAAACAAGUACUGUUAGCCUGUUAGCGUUGCUGGGUCACAAGAGAUCAGGUAGUAGAAGUGGUGGAAGUGUAGUAACCAAAUAAGAGGAGGGAAGAAUUUCCCACAGAAAAGAAAGAGAGCGCCAAAGAAGCAAAAGUUAUGGACAUUCACCAAUGUCACUAAAUCUAUCACAUGGCACAACAGUCGAGAAGAGGAAAAAAUUAAAAGAAAAUGGGAUGAAAGUUACCAUACCUGAAGGGCAGAGACCAGGCCACCUACCAGAGAAUAAAACCCUUUAUUUUCC
This 10340-nucleotide long non-coding RNA is filed under the name Ricinus communis (castor bean). RNAcentral describes it as "long non-coding RNA (RCOM_LNC001289)". The record is from RNAcentral. Lineage: Eukaryota; Viridiplantae; Streptophyta; Magnoliopsida; Malpighiales; Euphorbiaceae.